This 553-nucleotide ribosomal RNA is filed under the name uncultured eukaryote. RNAcentral's name for it is "SSU rRNA". It matches the Rfam family "Eukaryotic small subunit ribosomal RNA", at positions 444 to 1000 of the family's 1831-position model. The record is from RNAcentral.
CCCACUCCUAGAACGGGGAGGUAGUGACGAAAAAUAACAAUACCGGACUCAAUGAGGCUCGGUAAUUGAAAUGAGUACAGUUUAAAACCCUUAACGAGGAUCUAUUGGAGGGCAAGUCUGGUGCCAGCAGCCGCGGUAAUUCCAGCUCCAAUAGCGUAUAUUAAAGUUGUUGCAGUUAAAAAGCUCGUAGUUGGAUCUCGGGUACUAGCAUGUGGUACGCUUAACUGCGUUACUACAUGUCUGGUCCUAAUCAACCGGUUGGCCGUUGAUGCCCUUUAUUGGGUGUUUUCGGUAGCCGGUACGUUUACUUUGAGAAAAUUAGAGUGCUUAAAGCAGGCCUUACGCCUGAAUAAUGUUGCAUGGAAUAAUAGAAUAGGACCUCGGUUCUAUUUUGUUGGUUUUGUAGAGCAUUGAGGUAAUGAUUAAUAGGGACAGACGGGGGCAUCGUAUUGCGGUGUUAGAGGUGAAUUCUUGGAUCGCCGCAAGACGAACAACUGCGAAAGCAAUUUGCCAAGAAUGUUUUCAUUAAUCAAGAACGAAAGUUGGAGGUUCG